AUGAUGAUAAAAAGUAUCUUUUAUAAACGGUUAGAACCUGAAUUCUAGAGUGAAGAUAUGUACUAGGGCGGACUGAUUAU
Molecule: small nucleolar RNA, 80 nt
Organism: Pararge aegeria (speckled wood butterfly)
Lineage: Eukaryota; Metazoa; Arthropoda; Insecta; Lepidoptera; Nymphalidae
Product: small nucleolar RNA U43
Exons: 1
Source: RefSeq, a predicted model, not a curated record